AGAAACACAUGCUUGGAGAAGGAACCUGCCCAAGGUCACCCACCCUGAGAUAGAGGCAGAGUGGGAAGCUAAGUAUGCAGGCGCUUCCAUGCACCUCUUCUCAUCGUGGUCUGUCUGCCCGUAUUUUUAUUUCUUCAGGCUCAGAGCUCUCUAUCACCAUCAGAAAGAAGAGGAAGCUGCAGGCCCUUGUUGCCUGACUCUUGAGUCCAGCUCUCUCAAGAUUGCUGUCACAGCCCACAGCUGUGCAGAGCUUUGCAGUCUGUAGCUUGCAGGGGACUUUGUAUGUAAUAUCUCCAUUGAUUCACCUGGCCACAGUGGGAAGUGAAAAUUAUUGUUCCCCCAUUUCCAGGUGAGAAAGCCUCAAAACUAUGAUACAUCCAUUGAGUUACAAUGAGAUUCAAAGACACACAACUAAUAUGUAUCUGCUGGACCUUGCUAUUGUGCUGGGUUCUGUUAGAUGCAAAGAUAAAUAGGUUUUAGGUUCUUAGGAAUGUAAUGCAUAUAUUUUUUCAGCCCUUUAUAAAAGAUUCCAGGGUGUGGGGAUUCAGAGAAAUGUUGUGGGCCUCAGAGGCAGAAGUAAAGGGCAUUUCUAGAAGUUCUGGGGAAGCUUCUGGAGGAGGGAAUAUUUAAAUUGGGGUUGAGUCAGCCCAGGGGCACCCAUCUGUAAUCUCCUUAGCUCAAGAGGUUGAGACAGGAGGAUUGUGAGUUCAAAGCCAGCCUCAGCAGUGGUGAGGUGCUAAGCAACUCAGCGAGACCCUGUCUCUAAAUAAAAUUCAACAUAGGGCUGGGGAUGGUGCUCAGCGGUAGAGUGCCGCUGAAUUCAAUCCCGGUACCUCCCCCCAAAAAAUUUAGAUUGGGGUUGAAGGCCAUAGAUUUGAACAGGUGGGGAUGGAGAGAUGCCCCCCUGCCCCAUGUCCUUUCCCAGUAUUCUGGGCUUGCCCUUUUAUCACAACUCACCUACUAGACUUUAUGCACCUAAUAGUCAUUUAGCAUUUUUUAUUCAGUGCUAGGGACUGAGUUCAGGGUCUUGCACAUGCUAGGCACUUUUCCACUGAGCUCCAUCACCAGCCCAACACUCAACAUUUGAAUAAAUGAGUAGAAAAAUGAGUGUCUCAGAGGCAGGAUGGGGCCAUGUUAUGGGUGACCUUGGUGAUCAAGAGUCUCUCUUCCAGCUAAGUUGUGGAGGGCCACAAUGUGGGUAGAUGCCUUGUAUGAUUAGGAUGUAGCCAUGAGACAUAUUUUUCUCUUGUUGCAAUGGUCUUGGCAUUCUUUUUAUUUAUUUAUUUUAUUUUUGUUUUCGGCGGAUACAACAUCUUUGUUUGUAUGUGGUGCUGAGGAUCGAACCCGGGCUGCACACAUGCCAGGCGAGCGCGCUACCUCUUGAGCCACAUCCCCAGCCCGCAAUGGUCUUGGCAUUCUGCAUUGAGUGCUUAGUCCUGGACUUUGGGGGAAGGGGAUGAUGCAUAGGAGCCCUUAAUUGGUGAGUUUUUUUUUUUUUGUUGUUGUUGUUUUUUAAUUUUAGUACUGAAGUUUGAACCCAAGGGCGUUUUACCACUAAACUACAUCCCCAGCCCUUUUAACAUUUUUUUUUUUUUUUGAGACAGAUUCUCACUCAGUUGUUUUGGAUCUCACUAAAUCACUAAUUUGAGGCUGGCCUCCAAUUUACAAUUCUCCUGUCUUAGCUUCCUGGGUUGCUGAGAUUACCACUGCACCUAGCCAAUUGGUGGGAUCUUUAGAAAUUGUGCAGCCUGGGAGCUAGAAUCACAAUCCUUUGACCAAACUGCUUGGCUAGAUUUUUUUUUUUUCUUCUUGCAGUGUUGCUGAUUGAACCCAGGGCUUCCCCAUGUCAUGCAAGGCACUCUGCCACAGAGCUACAUCCUUAGUCCCUUGGCUAGAUUUUUGAAAUAUUCUCAAAGGGUACUGGGUACAAGAGACAUUUGUUACCUCCAAGUUCUUAUUAGGCUUAAAGGACACCUUUAUGCUCUGGUCUUACUCAGGUCCAUGCCUCUGUGGGCAGGUUAAGACAGGUAGAAUCCCUGAGGAUAGCUGUGGUGGUUUCCAUUUUGUAGGUGAGAGCCAAGACCUGCAAGAAGCUCAGUGGAAGCCAGGUGUGGUGGGAACGCCUGUAAUCCUAGCAGCUAGGGAGGCUGAGGCAAGAGUCUCCAAGUUGGAGGCCAGCCUCAGCAAUUUAGCAAGGCCCAAGCAACUUAGUGAGACCUUGUCUCAAAAUAAAAUAUAAAAAGGGCUGGGGAUGUGGACUUGUGGUAAAACUCCUCUGGGUUCCGUCACCUAUACCUAAAUAAAUAAAGAAGAAAGAAAAAGAAACAGGUGAGUGGGUGCCAAACCUCACCCUAGGGAGACGCAGAACUGGGGUCCAUGCCUCCAUAGCAGCCCCUUUCUUGGCCUCAUACUGCCCUCUAGGAAGCCCUCAAGGGCAACCUUAGCCUGUCUGGGGAAACAGAGUCCCUGAGCUGCAUUUUCCAUGGCGGGUUGUUCAGAGGGGAGAGACGGCCAGCCCCAUUACUGGCCUGAUGGCCUCUGCCUUUCCAAAGCAGCCAUCCAUCCUGCCUGGUUGGGUCCAGCCCAGCAGCUUCCGGGACAACUCUUGGGCAUCCGGCCAGCCUGCUCAGCACCUUCUCUCCCUGUCUCUGUCUCGAGCAAUCUGUCUUCCUGUCUGUCCCUCUGUCAGAUCUCUCUCUCUCUCUGUCUCCACCACUGUGUGCCUGUUUCUCCUUCCUAAUCUUUCUUCUGUACCAACAAUAACCUUUGGGCCUCCAGUCCCUCAGGAGUCCCGUUACCCCUGCUCUGACUGGUGCCUCUUUUUUUUUUUUUUUCUUUUUCUUUUUUGUACCAAGGAUUAAACCCAGGGGCACUUAACCCCUGAGCCACAUCCCCAGCCCUUUUUAUUUUUUAUUUAGAGACAGGGUCUCACUGAGUUGCUUAGGGCCUUGCUAAAUGGAUGAGGCUGGCUUUGAACUCAGGAUCCUCCUUUGAACUCAUGAUCCUUCAGCCUCCCCAGCCUAGUGCCUCUUCUCAACUGGCAGCGUGAGCCAGUGGGAAGAUUAUAAAGGAGGGGAAUACCACAGUGGAACUCUAGUCUGGUCAAGUCCUUGGCUUCCUCCUCUCUCGGCUUUCUCGUCCUUCCUGAGGCAACCAACCCCAGAGGCCCAAAUUGUCUCCAGAGGAGGAAGGUGUUGCUCAGAGGUCCGAGUUAAAGAGCAGGACAUGUGGUGGCAGGGCCUUUAUCAACGGAAGACUUGAGGGGUGGACAGGUCCAGGCCACAUGCUUCCCUACCAGCCCUGCUGGUCCUGGCAGACGCCCGUCCUCAGGCUCAGAUCUGCAGCUCUGUGAUCUGUCCCUUUUCCCAGAGCCCAGUCCUGGGGGCCCUGAAUUGCAGCUUUCCUAUUUCCCCAGGGCCUGCUUCGCCCUGGGGGACUCCACCUCCAACCACAGGGCCCAGCACCUUCCUCCAGAGCCUCUCAGGGUGAACCUCCUUAAACUUGAGCCUCAGCCCCUGUGUCACCGCCCCCAACUUUCCAAGGCUUCUGUUCAUCUUGGAGGACCUCCCAGAAGGGACACUCCUGACCCUCUGGCACCCCCUGCUCUACUGUCCUCUGCCUGUUCUUGACUGACUCCAAGGCCUCCAAUCCAUAGCCACCUCCUCCUUCCCAACCUGGACUGGUGCUUGGCCAGUUACUCCUUUGAUCUGUUGGGCUCCUUGUCCCCUGUCCCAGCUGACCCCUGGCCUGCUGCAGGUGGUCUGACCUCAAACUUCUCAGCUCCCAGCCCAUACUGCAUAGAGCUACUGGAGAAAACCUCAGGGCUGGGCAGAGGGGCUGCUCAGCACAGGCCUCCAAGCCCAGCUGGUCCCUGAAUGGUCAGUCCUUCCACAGCUUGCUCCCCCACCCUCUCCGGAGGCUCCCGCAAACUGGCAGCCUGUUCUCCAGCCUCCCUCCUCCUCCUGUGACUCAGCAGGUCACUUCAGCUUCUACUACAGUGACACAGGUUCCCAGGAACCUUCCUAUCCACUCCCAAGACCCUCCCACUCACCUUCCAUCUCAGAGGGCCAUCCUCCAGUGCUUCUGGCCUCCCCCACCUCAAAAGAUACUCCCAUCCCCUCUACCCCCAGCCCCUAACCCUCUGGCCUUGGUCUCUCUAGGCUCCAGUAUUUAAGCCAUCCCAGGCCUCUUCUAGGGUAAUGAAACCACCAGCAAUAACAUCUCCCUUCUUCAUCUGACCCGUGAAGCACCUUGGAAAACAAGUCAUCUCCGAAUCUUAACCCUUCAUCUCUCUAUCCCUGCCAUUCUAAUCUAAGAUAAUUGGGCCCCAUCAAAAAGGCACUUGCCAGCUGGGUGUGGUGGUACAUGCCUUAUAAUCCCAGUGACUCAGGAGGCUGAAGAAGGAGGAUUGCAAGUCUGAGGCCAGCAUCAGCAACUUAACAAGGCCCUGAGCAACUUAGAGACCCUGUUUUUAAAUAAAGUAUAAAAAAGGGGUUGGGGAUAUAUGUAGGUCAGUGAUAAAGUGCCCCUGGGUUCAAUCCCCUGUACCCUCCCCCAAAAUGGCACUUGCCAAGGUCAACAGAGGUGCCCUAAGUCAUGAAAAGGCCUUCUCUUCUGUCCUUACAGACUUUUCUGGAGCCAUUUGUGUGGUCCCUGGGACACAUGGACCCCUGGUCCUCCCAUCGUAUCCUCCAGGUCUCCUUGUGAGUUUACCUUCCUUGGCCUGUCCCCAUUACUCAUCCCUUUCUCUUUCAGUCUUCCUGGGCCCCAGGCUUCACCUCCUACGGAGAACUCCAAUUUCUUUUCCCAGCUCCAGCCUGGGCAUCCCACUCGGGUACCUGUUCACACCCAGCAGUUUCCACUUGUCUUUCCCUAAACCUGGCCUAGUAAAGCAGAUGGGACCCUCCCCAUGCACCUGUUUUCAGAGAAGUCUCCUUCCUGUCCCAGCUGCCAUGUCUUCCAAACCCAACCCCCAACCAGGCUCCCCUAGGAGGAGCUAGCAAAGAUCCUCCAUUAAGGAAUUUCUUCCUCUGGUCUCAUCCCUGUCCCGUCCACCCUCUAUCCUGCUGCCAAGUGACUGUUCUAAAAUGCAAAGCUAAUGGGGCUGGGGAUGUGGCUCAAGU
This 5123-nucleotide long non-coding RNA is filed under the name Marmota monax (woodchuck). The record is from RNAcentral. Lineage: Eukaryota; Metazoa; Chordata; Mammalia; Rodentia; Sciuridae.